Schistosoma mansoni is the source of this 45-nucleotide non-coding RNA. The record is from Rfam. Lineage: Eukaryota; Metazoa; Platyhelminthes; Trematoda; Strigeidida; Schistosomatidae.
AUCCAGCUGAAGAGUUUCGAAUAGGAUGAAAUGCACGUCCUGGAU